Molecule: ribosomal RNA, 253 nt
Filed under: uncultured bacterium
Lineage: Bacteria
Description: partial 16S ribosomal RNA
Rfam family: Bacterial small subunit ribosomal RNA
Source: RNAcentral
UACGUAGGGACCGAGCGUUGUCCGGAAUCAUUGGGCGUAAAGAGCGUGUAGGCGGCUUGCUAAGUCUUGCGUGAAAUCUCGGGGCUCAACCCCGAGCGGUCGUGGGAAACUGGCAGGCUAGAGUGCGGGAGAGGAGAAUGGAAUUCCUGGUGUAGCGGUGAAAUUCGUAGAUAUUCGGAAGAACACCAGUGGCGAAGGCGGCUCACUGGCCCGGUACUGACGCUGAGGUGCGAAAGCGUGGGGAGCAAACAGG